AUGGGGAAAAAGAGGAAACAUGAUCAGGGAAGGGACGACGAGUCGAGCUCCUCCGAUGCCAAGCGGUACAGGUCUUGCCACUGCCAGAACAGAAGUUCAGGACUUCGGGAGCUUUUGGUUAUUGGGUGCAACCGCUGGGAGACAGCUAAAGUGGCCACGGAGGAAAAGUUCGAAAGAAAAAUUAUAAAGCUUAAGCAAAAGAGGGAAAAAGAUAAGAACAAACAUAAGGAAGAUAUCAGAAUACUCAAGGAAGAUUUCACAAUACUCAAAGAAUAUUUCAGAAUACUGAAGGAAUCUCAUGAAGAGCUCAAUUCAAAAAUCCAAGAGAUGCGAAAAGAAGGGCGUGCUGAAAUUUACCAAAUAUCAGGACAUUUAUCUAGGGCGGAGCCAGCGGCCGGCGACCCCGGGCUCUACUUGACAGUGGACGGCUAUCGUGUUUAUACUUUUACUACAUUAUUUAUAUGUGCAUUGUUGGUUUGGGAGCUUGAUGCUAUUUUAUAUGUUGUGUAUCUGAACAUCCGAUCGCAAGUAAGCCAAUCAACAAGAUUUCGACUAGUAAUUGAAAAUAAUGUGAGCAGAACAAUUUACAAAAAGGAAACUAUAGAGACCGAGGACGGCGGAGGUCACAUAAAAGUUGCCAUGUAUGAUGGCGGCAAUUGA
RNAcentral lists this ribosomal RNA (660 nucleotides) under Triticum aestivum (bread wheat). Its description in RNAcentral is "partial small subunit ribosomal RNA". Lineage: Eukaryota; Viridiplantae; Streptophyta; Magnoliopsida; Poales; Poaceae. The record is from RNAcentral.